RNAcentral lists this unclassified non-coding RNA (948 nucleotides) under Hevea brasiliensis (rubber tree). Lineage: Eukaryota; Viridiplantae; Streptophyta; Magnoliopsida; Malpighiales; Euphorbiaceae. The record is from RNAcentral.
CCCAGUGAAAUGGAUCCUCAAAUUCUGCAAUAAGAAUCAUGAAAACAUAAAUCAGAACAUAUUACAAAAUAAAGAUGAACUGUAAUUUCAAGAAAAAAUAGUUCUUAUGCAUUUAACAUUCCAACUGCCAAACAAUCUACAAUGGUAGAUGCAUAUAAUAGAUGGUGAAUACCAAAGAAAAGCUUAGCUUUGCUUACAUAUCUUGUUGAAAGCCACAAUAUCACAGCUCUGGACAUGCUCAUUCACUGGCUCAACUGUCAGAUGUUCCUCAAUGAGAUUGUCAACAGACACAAGGUCGUCAACAAUUGUGAGCAUUAUCUGCAGUUUCUUAAUACCAUAUCCAACAGGGACGAGUUUGGAUGCUCCCCAAAGCAAUCCUUCCAUCUGAACACUUCUUACGGCCUCUUCAAGUUUCUUCAUGUCAGUUUCAUCAUCCCAAGGCUUGAUAUCCAUCAAAACUGAUGAUUUUCCACUCUCUUUCUUCUUUGCAGAAGCCUUGAUGGCAGCUGCGCGCUCUUCGGCAGCCUUCUUUUCCUCUUCAGUCUCUUCACCAAACAGAUCCAUAUCGUCAUCAUCGUCGUCAUCAGCACUAGCCUUAGCAUCGGCAGCUGGUGGGGUUGCGAUUGCUUCUGCAUCGAACUUAACGCCAGAACCCUCUCCAAACCCAGCAGAGGCUCUCAUGAGUGCUUCGAUGUGAUUGAACCACCUAGAUACGUUAACAUAUUCGCUGGAAACGGGUUUGGAGAUAGCUUCGUAAACAGCGAUAUCAUCUUUUGAAGCUUGAUACCCAGAAAUGUAACUACGACUGAGCAGGUACUCGUCGAGCUUUUUUAGACCGGCUGCCGACUUAACAUCGCUCAAUGAGACCGCCAUUGCGAACUGAUGUGAUUUCCUUCGCCGGCAGCAACGCUAGAACUCACGGAGAAAGUUACAGAGGCUUAGGAGAUC